GGUUGUGGCUCAGCGGUAGAGUGCUCACCUAGCAUGCUCGAGGUGCUGGGUUUGAUCCUCAACACCA
RNAcentral lists this transfer RNA (67 nucleotides) under Marmota monax (woodchuck). RNAcentral describes it as "tRNA.Ala". Lineage: Eukaryota; Metazoa; Chordata; Mammalia; Rodentia; Sciuridae. The record is from RNAcentral.